UUGAAUGAAUGUAGAGUUGGUUGUCGCUGGCCUUUAUUGGCAUGUGCACGCCUUCUCUUUCAUCCACACACACCUGUGCACCUGUGAGACGGAGGAAGCCUGCCCUUUCGCGAGGGUGUUUUUCUCCGUCUGCCAAUACAUAAACUCAUAUAUAUAAUUUGAAUGUAAUUGAUGUAACGCAUCUAUAAAC
Molecule: unclassified non-coding RNA, 190 nt
Filed under: uncultured Ceratobasidiaceae
Lineage: Eukaryota; Fungi; Basidiomycota; Agaricomycetes; Cantharellales; Ceratobasidiaceae
Description: sequence contains ITS1
Source: RNAcentral